UGAAGUGUUGCAGCAUGUGUUCAACUUCACUAAGUUUCUGAUUAUCCUUAUAAAGACAUUGAAUCUCAACCAUUGUACUGUAAGGUCCACUAAACUCCUUAAGCCCUUGAACAUAAAACGGGUUAUCUAACUGCACGUCAAACGACGAUGAAUCUCUUCUAAACCCUGGACCCCACAUCAUAUCGGGGAGGUUUUUCGGUGAGAAAGAUGAUGAAGAUGACGUAGGAGACGAGAGACCAUUGUUAGUUAAUGUCGGGUCUGCAAGCUUGCAGUAUAUAGCCGACACGCACUUCACCAUAUCUUCGGAUACCUUAUUUGGUGUCAUGGGAAUAUGAUCGGUUAUUCUAGUACCGAGGUGUUCAGCUAGACUAGUUAUGUUUGAAGUCGUAUGAGCGUACCUCCAUCAUAGAUGGUGGUUGAGAGUGACAAGCGCGUAACGAUUUGCCAAAAACAGGUGAAGUUCUUGUUACCGAAUGUUGAAUACCAGAAGCUACAACUUCAUCUUCUUCAAAACAUCUAUUAGAGUUGUGUUGUAACGAGAUAUCGGCUCUAGAAGUUUCUAGAAUCUUUCCUCUUGGAGUAAUUAACCUUUG
This 593-nucleotide long non-coding RNA is filed under the name Helianthus annuus (common sunflower). RNAcentral's name for it is "sRNA HanXRQr2_Chr12g0558941". Lineage: Eukaryota; Viridiplantae; Streptophyta; Magnoliopsida; Asterales; Asteraceae. The record is from RNAcentral.